Molecule: ribosomal RNA, 253 nt
Filed under: uncultured bacterium
Lineage: Bacteria
Description: partial 16S ribosomal RNA
Rfam family: Bacterial small subunit ribosomal RNA
Source: RNAcentral
UACAGAGGUCUCAAGCGUUGUUCGGAUUCAUUGGGCGUAAAGGGUGUGUAGGUGGCGCGCUAAGUCGGGUGUGAAAUUUCGGAGCUUAACUCCGAAACUGCAUUCGAUACUGGCGUGCUUGAGGACUGGAGAGGAGACUGGAAUUCAUGGUGUAGCAGUGAAAUGUGUAGAGAUCAUGAGGAAGACCAGUGGCGAAGGCGACUUCCUGGCCUGUUCUUGACGCUGAGGCGCGAAAGCUAGGGGAGCAAACGGG